AGAAAUGCCUUCAUGAGAUACAGCUGUAAGGCAUUUUUUCAAGUAGUGGUCAAGGGGGAAGGACAAGCCCGUUGUGGGUGGUGCCAUUCCUGGGCUGGUGGUCUUG
MicroRNA precursor from Cricetulus griseus (Chinese hamster), 106 nucleotides. The record is from Ensembl. Lineage: Eukaryota; Metazoa; Chordata; Mammalia; Rodentia; Cricetidae.